UACGAAGGGGGCAAGCGUUGUUCGGAAUUACUGGGCGUAAAGCGCGCGUAGGCGGGCCGGUUAGUCGAUUGUGAAAGCCCUGGGCUCAACCUAGGAAUGGCAGUCGAAACUACCGGUCUUGAGUGCCUGAGAGGAUGGCGGAAUUCCCGGUGUAGUAGUGAAAUACGUAGAUAUCGGGAAGAACACCUGAGGCGAAGGCGGCUAUCUGGCGGUGCACUGACGCUAAGGCGCGAAAGCGUGGGGAGCAAACAGG
Molecule: ribosomal RNA, 253 nt
Filed under: uncultured bacterium
Lineage: Bacteria
Description: partial 16S ribosomal RNA
Rfam family: Bacterial small subunit ribosomal RNA
Source: RNAcentral